UACGAAGGGGGCUAGCGUUGCUCGGAAUUACUGGGCGUAAAGCGCCCGUAGGCGGCUUCUUAAGUCGGGGGUGAAAUCCUGGAGCUCAACUCCAGAACUGCCUUCGAUACUGGGAAGCUCGAGUCCGGGAGAGGUGAGUGGAACUGCGAGUGUAGAGGUGAAAUUCGUAGAUAUUCGCAAGAACACCAGUGGCGAAGGCGGCUCACUGGCCCGGUACUGACGCUGAGGUGCGAAAGCGUGGGGAGCAAACAGG
RNAcentral lists this ribosomal RNA (253 nucleotides) under uncultured bacterium. RNAcentral's name for it is "partial 16S ribosomal RNA". It matches the Rfam family "Bacterial small subunit ribosomal RNA", at positions 524 to 776 of the family's 1533-position model. The record is from RNAcentral.